RNAcentral lists this long non-coding RNA (490 nucleotides) under Anser brachyrhynchus (Pink-footed goose). RNAcentral describes it as "lncRNA (ENSABRG00000003835.1)". The record is from RNAcentral. Lineage: Eukaryota; Metazoa; Chordata; Aves; Anseriformes; Anatidae.
AUCUACUUAUUACUGUGGUAGGUUUUCUGGCUACUUCCUUAACAAGGCUGCCAAAAUUUCUUCUAGACUGAUGACAGUUAUGAGGACAAAUAUGUUGGAGGAAACAUCAAGACUUUACUUCAACUCACAAAAGAUCUUCCUUUCAUUUGGUCAAAUUGCAUAUCCUCAUUACCCUGCAAUGAUGCCAAAACUUUUGCAGCACUGUACACUUCUAAUCCUGAUACUACUGGUCACUCUGCUGCCUGAGGGAGCACAAACAAAACAAAAAAACCCAUCACAGGAUGCAUACAUUAUGCUUCAAUAAUCUUUGAUUGCCAUACAUUGAGGAGUUUUCCCUGAUGCUUACAGCUGAGGUGAGCAGCACUCUCAGCUUGUGUAGAAGCCUAAGGAAUCACUGCUGAUGUUUUUGGCCCAUCUCACCCAUCUGUGGCAAUGGCUUUUGGGGAAGCAAAAUGGUGUAGGACAGAGAUACUGCCUCAGACUAUUCUUG